RNAcentral lists this long non-coding RNA (464 nucleotides) under Mytilus galloprovincialis (Mediterranean mussel). Lineage: Eukaryota; Metazoa; Mollusca; Bivalvia; Mytilida; Mytilidae. The record is from RNAcentral.
AUUGGUAUCACGUUGGCGUCGGCGUUGUCGUCCGAAGACAUUUGGUUUUUGCACUCUAACUUUAGUAAAAGUAAAUAGAAAUCUAUGAAAUUGAAACACAAGGUUUAUUACCAUAAAAGGAAGGUUGGGAUUGAUUUUGGGUGUUUUGGUCCCAACUGUUUAGGAAUUAUGGGCCAAAAAGGGCCCAAAUAAGCAUUUUUCUUGGUUUUCGCACAAUAACUUUAGUAUAAGUGAACAGAAAUCUAUGAAAUUUUAACAUAAGGUCUAUGACCACAAAAGGAAGGUUGGGAUUGAUUUUGGGAGUUUUAGUCUCAACAGUUUAGGAAUAAGGGGCCAAAAACAUUUCCCAAAUAAGCAUUUUUCUUGGUUUUUGCACAAUAACUUUAGUAUAAGUUAAUAGAAAUCUAUGAAAUUUUAACACAAGGUUUAUUACCACAAAAGGAAGGUUUGGAUUGAUUUUGGGA